GCACAAGCGGUGGAGUAUGUGGUUUAAUUCGACGCAACGCGCAGAACCUUACCUAGACUUGACAUCCCGGGGAUUUUCUGGAAACAGAGAAGUGCUUUAGCAAUAAAGAACCCGGUGACAGGUGCUGCAUGGCUGUCGUCAGCUCGUGUCGUGAGAUGUUGGGUUAAGUCCCGCAACGAGCGCAACCCUCGCCUUUAGUUGCCAGCAUUCAGUUGGGCACUCUAGAGGGACUGCCGGUGUCAAACCGGAGGAAGGUGGGGAUGACGUCAAGUCCUCAUGGCCUUUAUGUCUAGGGCUACACACGUACUACAAUGGCCGGUACAAAGGGCAGCCACUCAGCGAUGAGGCGCUAAUCCCAUAAAGCCGGUCUCAGUCCGGAUCGCAGUCUGCAACUCGACUGCGUGAAGUUGGAAUCGCUAGUAAUCGUAGAUCAGCAUGCUACGGUGAAUACGUUCCCGGGCCUU
RNAcentral lists this ribosomal RNA (464 nucleotides) under uncultured Desulfovibrio sp. RNAcentral describes it as "bacterial SSU rRNA". It matches the Rfam family "Bacterial small subunit ribosomal RNA", at positions 923 to 1382 of the family's 1533-position model. The record is from RNAcentral. Lineage: Bacteria; Pseudomonadati; Thermodesulfobacteriota; Desulfovibrionia; Desulfovibrionales; Desulfovibrionaceae.